Molecule: ribosomal RNA, 358 nt
Filed under: uncultured Vibrio sp.
Lineage: Bacteria; Pseudomonadati; Pseudomonadota; Gammaproteobacteria; Vibrionales; Vibrionaceae
Description: bacterial SSU rRNA
Rfam family: Bacterial small subunit ribosomal RNA
Source: RNAcentral
GAUGCGCGUGGGGCGGAAACGACACUAACAAUCCUUCGGGUGCGUUAAUGGGCGUCGAGCGGCGGACGGGUGAGUAAUGCCUAGGAAAUUGCCUUGAUGUGGGGGAUAACCAUUGGAAACGAUGGCUAAUACCGCAUAAUGCCUACGGGCCAAAGAGGGGGACCUUCGGGCCUCUCGCGUCAAGAUAUGCCUAGGUGGGAUUAGCUAGUUGGUGAGGUAAUGGCUCACCAAGGCGACGAUCCCUAGCUGGUCUGAGAGGAUGAUCAGCCACACUGGAACUGAGACACGGUCCAGACUCCUACGGGAGGCAGCAGUGGGGAAUAUUGCACAAUGGGCGAAAGCCUGAUGCAGCCAUGCC